RNAcentral lists this ribosomal RNA (225 nucleotides) under uncultured bacterium. RNAcentral describes it as "partial 16S ribosomal RNA". It matches the Rfam family "Bacterial small subunit ribosomal RNA", at positions 28 to 225 of the family's 1533-position model. The record is from RNAcentral.
GACGAACGCUGGCGGCGUGCCUAAUACAUGCAAGUCGAACGAACUCUGGUAUUGAUUGGUGCUUGCAUCAUGAUUUACAUUUGAGUGAGUGGCGAACUGGUGAGUAACACGUGGGAAACCUGCCCAGAAGCGGGGGAUAACACCUGGAAACAGAUGCUAAUACCGCAUAACAACUUGGACCGCAUGGUCCGAGUUUGAAAGAUGGCUUCGGCUAUCACUUUUUGG